ACGGUUCCUGGACUUCAAAAUGAUAGAUAACAAAUCUUUUGUCUCUCAAGUACAGGAGUUUUGCAAGUCAUCAUGCAUGAUCUCCUAGCAGAAGGUAUAUCUUUGAAAAUACCUUAGUUGAACAAAUUAAAAAUGUUCUUAAUCCUCACAUAAACUGUUUCUUAGGUUUAAUCGUGAAUGAUGCUUUCCAAGUAGCAGCGAUA
RNAcentral lists this long non-coding RNA (203 nucleotides) under Capsicum annuum. Its description in RNAcentral is "long non-coding RNA (CANN_LNC005665)". Lineage: Eukaryota; Viridiplantae; Streptophyta; Magnoliopsida; Solanales; Solanaceae. The record is from RNAcentral.